AACGUAGGGGGCCAGCGUUGCUCGGAAUUACUGGGCGUAAAGGGUCCGUAGGCGGUGUGGCAAGUCAGAAGUGAAAUCUCAGGGCUUAACCCUGAGGCUGCUUCUGAAACUGCCGUGCUAGAGUGCGAGAGAGGCGAGUGGAAUUGCAGGUGUAGCGGUGGAAUGCGUAGAUAUCUGCAGGAACACAAGAGGCGAAAGCGGCUCGCUGGAUCGCAACUGACGCUGAGGGACGUAAGCUAGGGGAGCAAACAGG
This 253-nucleotide ribosomal RNA is filed under the name uncultured bacterium. Its description in RNAcentral is "partial 16S ribosomal RNA". It matches the Rfam family "Bacterial small subunit ribosomal RNA", at positions 524 to 776 of the family's 1533-position model. The record is from RNAcentral.